Molecule: non-coding RNA, 128 nt
Organism: Picea glauca (white spruce)
Lineage: Eukaryota; Viridiplantae; Streptophyta; Pinopsida; Pinales; Pinaceae
Source: Rfam
UGCCUUGCAUAUAGAUACGAAUAAAAAAAAGUGGGCUUGAUUGUGGGGAAAACUCCACAGUUAAGCGUGCUUGAGCCAGAGGCAUAUUGGGAUGGGUGACCACUUGGGAAGUCCUGGUUAUCAGGUGC